Molecule: ribosomal RNA, 433 nt
Filed under: uncultured bacterium
Lineage: Bacteria
Description: partial 16S ribosomal RNA
Rfam family: Bacterial small subunit ribosomal RNA
Source: RNAcentral
AACGAACGCUGGCGGCAGGCCUAACACAUGCAAGUCGAGCGGACCCUUCGGGGUUAGCGGCGGACGGGUGAGUAACGCGUGGGAAUAUGCCCUUCUCUACGGAAUAGUCCUGGGAAACUGGGGGUAAUACCGUAUACGCCCUUUGGGGGAAAGAUUUAUCGGGGAAGGAUUAGCCCGCGUUGGAUUAGGUAGUUGGUGGGGUAAUGGCCUACCAAGCCGACGAUCCAUAGCUGGUUUGAGAGGAUAAUCAGCCACACUGGGACUGAGACACGGCCCAGACUCCUACGGGAGGCAGCAGUGGGGAAUCUUAGACAAUGGGGGCAACCCUGAUCUAGCCAUGCCGCGUGAGUGAUGAAGGCCUUAGGGUUGUAAAGCUCUUUCAGCUGGGAAGAUAAUGACGGUACCAGCAGAAGAAGCCCCGGCUAACUCCGUG